RNAcentral lists this transfer RNA (72 nucleotides) under Lactobacillaceae bacterium. RNAcentral's name for it is "tRNA-Arg". It matches the Rfam family "tRNA". Rfam says of the family: Transfer RNA (tRNA) molecules are approximately 80 nucleotides in length. Their secondary structure includes four short double-helical elements and three loops (D, anti-codon, and T loops). Further hydrogen bonds mediate the characteristic L-shaped molecular structure. tRNAs have two regions of fundamental functional importance: the anti-codon, which is responsible for specific mRNA codon recognition, and the 3' end, to which the tRNAs corresponding amino acid is attached (by aminoacyl-tRNA synthetases). tRNAs cope with the degeneracy of the genetic code in two manners: having more than one tRNA (with a specific anti-codon) for a particular amino acid; and 'wobble' base-pairing, i.e. permitting non-standard base-pairing at the 3rd anti-codon position. The record is from RNAcentral. Lineage: Bacteria; Bacillati; Bacillota; Bacilli; Lactobacillales; Lactobacillaceae.
GCGCGUGUAGUGUAAUGGAUAUCACGUAAGAUUCCGGUUCUUGAGAUCACGGUUCGACUCCGUGCAUGCGCA